This 20-nucleotide small nuclear RNA is filed under the name Arabidopsis thaliana (thale cress). Its description in RNAcentral is "snRNA_12166". Lineage: Eukaryota; Viridiplantae; Streptophyta; Magnoliopsida; Brassicales; Brassicaceae. The record is from RNAcentral.
CAAGGCUCGCUUCGGCGGGU